Molecule: small RNA, 175 nt
Filed under: Desulfotomaculum sp.
Lineage: Bacteria; Bacillati; Bacillota; Clostridia; Eubacteriales; Desulfotomaculaceae
Also listed under: 1 other name
Description: Magnesium sequence
Rfam family: M-box riboswitch aptamer (ykoK leader)
About the family: M-box riboswitch, also know as ykoK leader is described as a metaloregulatory RNA that sense divalent metals and function as a genetic control element of genes related to divalent metal transport in bacteria.
Source: RNAcentral
AAUAAUCCUCGUUAGGUGAGGCUUCUGCAUAGAGCACACGCCACUGCCCGGAAAUGUCGAGAGACACCAACUGGGUUAACAGGUAUGGCCGGAUUAAGGCUUUACUUAAUGUGGCUGAGGCUUUAUACAGUCUCUAGCUAUGUACGUGCCAAAGCUCGGACGAGUGGGGAAGACA